GAAAAACCAGAAAAGAAAUGGAAAAAAAA
Molecule: ribosomal RNA, 29 nt
Filed under: Megalophaedusa awajiensis
Lineage: Eukaryota; Metazoa; Mollusca; Gastropoda; Stylommatophora; Clausiliidae
Description: Hemiphaedusa awajiensis partial 5.8S rRNA
Source: RNAcentral